GCACCUCUAGCUCAAUUGGCAGAGCAAUUGACUCUUAAUCAAUGGGUUUCCGGUUCAAGUCCGGAGGGGUGCACCA
RNAcentral lists this transfer RNA (76 nucleotides) under Arthrobacter glacialis. RNAcentral describes it as "tRNA-Lys". It matches the Rfam family "tRNA". Rfam says of the family: Transfer RNA (tRNA) molecules are approximately 80 nucleotides in length. Their secondary structure includes four short double-helical elements and three loops (D, anti-codon, and T loops). Further hydrogen bonds mediate the characteristic L-shaped molecular structure. tRNAs have two regions of fundamental functional importance: the anti-codon, which is responsible for specific mRNA codon recognition, and the 3' end, to which the tRNAs corresponding amino acid is attached (by aminoacyl-tRNA synthetases). tRNAs cope with the degeneracy of the genetic code in two manners: having more than one tRNA (with a specific anti-codon) for a particular amino acid; and 'wobble' base-pairing, i.e. permitting non-standard base-pairing at the 3rd anti-codon position. The record is from RNAcentral. RNAcentral also lists the same sequence under 8 other names. Lineage: Bacteria; Bacillati; Actinomycetota; Actinomycetes; Micrococcales; Micrococcaceae.